Salvia splendens (bonfire salvia) is the source of this 2487-nucleotide long non-coding RNA. RefSeq lists it as uncharacterized. NCBI's taxonomy places the organism in Eukaryota, Viridiplantae, Streptophyta, Magnoliopsida, Lamiales, Lamiaceae. The record is from RefSeq and is a predicted model, not a curated record. The transcript is spliced from 2 exons.
CAUCUAUCCCGAACCUUCCGCUUUACAAGCUGCAAGCACAGCCGUCCGAUUAUUCCACGCUGCUUGAAAUUCCACAUUACGACGCCGUUUGCUCUCAUCCAGCCGUUCAAAAUAUCUCCCACCCACUCAUUUCCAGCCGUUGGAUCGUCAACCGCCUACAAUAAAUACACCUUAUCGUUUCAUCUCUUCUUUGCAUCCAUUCAUUUCCGAAGCUGCCUCGAUCUGCUGGCUUCUGUCCUCUUUCUGCAGGCCAGAUUAUUUUCUUGUUUAUUCCAUCAGAUUCAUUUAGAUCAUGAGGCGACCUUCGUCGUGGUUACGGUUUUUCUGAGUUUUAUUAUGCCUGCUAUUUUUUCUCAAUUUGAUAGCUCUGUCCCUGGGUUUAUACCCUGGCUGCCGUUGUGAAACUUGCGUUUCUUAUGCGCUGCUGCGGCUGUGAAACGACGAGGUUUGACUGGAUCUGCAACCGUGCUGGACGGAUCGUUGAAGAAUCGCUUUUCCGUAAUUGAUUGGAAACAAUUUUUCUGGAUCUGGAAACACGAAGCAUCUUGUGAAGACACGAUCAUCAGACCGUGGAUAUUGACCGGUAUGGAGUCAUUGAGUUUUAUCCAUCAAUUAGUCGGUCUACGGGGCUCUGGUCGAGUGGCUCAAGGGAAGUGAUUUGUUUUGUGUCGUUUAUUCAUGCGUUCUUUCUGUCUGUAGACUCGGCUAAUUGUUGAGGUAUCAGACUGUAAAAAAAUGAAAAAUGAGUGAGUGAAGUGAGGUGAUAUGUGAAAAGUGAGGUGAGAUCUGGUUGUCUGCAUGACCUUUGCCAUGAUGGGUGCGCUCGCAUGGCAGGUCGCCCGUUAAUAAAAGUUUUCAUUUUUGGUUUUGAGGGGAGAUGGUACGGGAAUUUGCCCGGCUCUCCCCUCUGUGUGGUGUCCUAGUCUCUCUGAACUCUCCCUGCUCGUUUCUUGCCCAUAUUAUGCACGCAUACAAAGUAUAAAUAUAGUAGUCCAUUCACGCCAAAUUCGUUGCCUUGAAUGCGUCGCUAUAAAAAAAAGGGCUCGAUCAGGAUAAAAUCAUUUCCAAUAUUUGAGAGUGUACUUCGGGAACAAGGCUUCAAUAAACGUCCGAGCAUCCACUACAACAAGAGGUACAAGUUUGCAUUUUUUUUCAAUAUCUCAUCAUACUACACUUGGAAAUCUUUAACAUUCUCAAUUCUUAACUUAAUACUGCAACAAUUUUAUCAUUAACUAGGAAUUUGGUAUCUUUUACUUGGUUUAGUAUUUUCUAAUUACAAUUUACUGUUAGCAUUUUUCUGGUAACUAGCAAUGUUCUUUGGUAUGUAGGAAAUAAUCAAGUAACUCACGCAACGGCUGAUAGAUUGACGUGUAAUACACGUUCCCUUGCUUCUGCAGUUUUUAACUAUGGAAAUUUACGUGCGUCAAACUGGAAACGUUAACCUUACAUUUGUCAAUGAUUUUUAACAACACUAUCCUACAUAGUUAGUAAUUUGUGAUCACCAGUCAAAUCUAAUCACAGAGUUAUAUUAAAUGAUAACUAGUUACAUUAGCAAACUGUUAACGAACUAUAUGCAUAAUGUUUUGCAAUUUGCACUUCAACCUCUAUUGUUCAUUGUUUAACAUAUUCCGUAUCUGGUUACCUUUGCUCCCCUGUUGCGGGGCUCUAGUAUUGCUUAUGAUUAUUGAUGUAUGUUGGCUUAUCACUAUCAACCAUCUGUAUGGUUGAAGGAACUUGGCUUUCUGUAGUCUUUAGUUUAAAGCUAUAGCAUGGUUGUAAUAGAUCAGCUAUUCAGUAGAUGGUUGGUUGCUUAUUGUGGAGGUUCCGGUGUGAUACUUCUCCUGUCUGUCCCCUUGGAUGCUGGCUGUAUUCAUGAUGUGCUGCUGCUGUGGCGUCUAGUAUUUGGUUUUCCGCCACUUGUGACCUGGUGGUGGUGGUGGUGGUGGUGGUGGUGGUCUUUGUCUCUGUCCCCUUGGAUGCUGGCUGUAUAGACGAAGUGCUGCUGCCGUGUUGUUUGGCUUUGGUUUUCUGCGUGCUGCGAUCAGCUAAUGCUGGUGAUGUGUUUGUCGGUGGCGGUAUAUGUAUUGCUACUUAAGAGAAUUUUCUGAGGCCUAGUUGUGAUUGUUCUCAUUGCUGUCUUCUUCAGUUGCAUAUAAGCAUGUACGUCGUUCGUCUCUUCAAAUGUUGUUGCUGAUGAUUAUUGUCAAGUAAGGUGCAAGGAACCUGGGUUCUCUUUAUGUUACAAAGUAUACAUAGUAAUUUAUGGUAAUUAUGUUAUAUUAGUAGUACUCGGGAUGGUCUUUGUUGUUCAUCCUGUCUAUAUCGAUUGAUUCCUUCUUUGGGAGUUGUAUCCUUAAUAUCUGGAUUAAGGUUGCCCUCUUUAGUAAAAAUAAGGUUGGAUGUGCGUUUUAAAGUUGUUUGGAAUGUGUGAAGCGAUCUGGAGCAAGCGUUAUGAAUUAUAGUUAUUGAUUUUGUUUUGAAGUUAAA